This 204-nucleotide long non-coding RNA is filed under the name Elaeis guineensis (African oil palm). RNAcentral describes it as "long non-coding RNA (EGUI_LNC073382)". The record is from RNAcentral. Lineage: Eukaryota; Viridiplantae; Streptophyta; Magnoliopsida; Arecales; Arecaceae.
AUAUACUUAAUUUACUUUAAUUGUGCACAAACUUGUUUUAAUGUUAUAAAAAUUUUUGAAAAAUCCAGUUUACCCCCCCUUUUGGUUUUCCUAUCUAGGAAAUAACUGCAUAGAAGUCUAUCCUAGAAGAACUAGAAAGAUCAGAAAUUGAGGUACAGUUAUACAAGUUUGAAUGUCAGCUUGACCCUUAUGGUGCAGCCCACC